This 603-nucleotide ribosomal RNA is filed under the name uncultured fungus. RNAcentral's name for it is "eukaryotic LSU rRNA". It matches the Rfam family "Eukaryotic large subunit ribosomal RNA", at positions 23 to 641 of the family's 3401-position model. Lineage: Eukaryota; Fungi. The record is from RNAcentral.
ACCCGCUGAACUUAAGCAUAUCAAUAAGCGGAGGAAAAGAAACCAACAGGGAUUGCCCUAGUAACGGCGAGUGAAGCGGCAACAGCUCAAAUUUGAAAUCUGGCGUCUUUGGCGUCCGAGUUGUAAUUUGCAGAGGGCGCUUUGGCAUUGGCAGCGGUCCAAGUUCCUUGGAACAGGACGUCACAGAGGGUGAGAAUCCCGUACGUGGUCGCUAGCCUUUACCGUGUAAAGCCCCUUCGACGAGUCGAGUUGUUUGGGAAUGCAGCUCUAAAUGGGAGGUAAAUUUCUUCUAAAGCUAAAUACUGGCCAGAGACCGAUAGCGCACAAGUAGAGUGAUCGAAAGAUGAGAAGCACUUUGGAAAGAGAGUUAAAAAGCACGUGAAAUUGUUGAAAGGGAAGCGCUUGCAGCCAGACUUGCCUGUAGUUGCUCAUCCGGGUUUUUACCCGGUGCACUCUUCUAUAGGCAGGCCAGCAUCAGUUUGGGCGGUUGGAUAAAGGUCUCUGUCAUGUACCUCUCUUCGGGGAGAACUUAUAGGGGAGACGACAUGCAACCAGCCCGGACUGAGGUCCGCGCAUCUGCUAGGAUGCUGGCGUAAUGGCUGU